CUUCAUUUUCCCAGAGCAUUUGUGGAGAAGGAACUGCAUAAGCAUAAAAUAAGUAAAGAAAUCCUCCAUACCAAACAGUUUUUUGGGACAUGGUGAAGUAGAGGCAAAACUGAAGGUAAAAUAUUGUGCAACACUGAAUGAAAUGAGAGGAACUGCACGAGUCACACAGAAUGAUAGAGAUGGAAAAGAGGACAUCUGUGACCCUCAUUUACUCUUCACAACUGUGCAUGCACAUGUGCACCACACAUUUCUGCUGUUAGACGGAGUUGGAUGAUGCGGUGCAAUUAAAGCCUUUUGUGAAUGUCGUUGAACUGCAAUAACACCUGGAAAUAAAGAGCUCGAGAGGUGCAUGGUGGUAGUGAGUUUACUGGAAGGAUGCAGACUUUGGGAGAAACCAGGAGCUCCUUGAAAUCCAGCUGAACCUGACUGGAAGAGAGAAAAGUAUCUCAAGCAGGCCUUGAUUAGAGUAUACUAAGCAGAUCGCCCACAUUUGAUCAAAGAGACCAAUUCUAUUCACAAGAAGGAAAUGGUAGAUGCAUCUUCUGGACUCAGAACUCUGGAGAGAGGUGAAGCUCCCCGUGGAAGAGGGAAGAAGGAAAGAGAUUCACAUGGACACAGAACAAGAUAAUAUUUGCAUAGUUUCAAGUUAUGUAAAGCACUGAAUAUUUAGUAAUGUAGACCAGAGACAUUGGAAUUUCUCCGGGUCUUUAGAUACCAAACUCCGUCUCUUCUCUCUCUACCUGCUGGCAAGCCAUCAGAAUAUUGUUCAGAACCUUUUACAUUUAGCUGCAAGAGGAAAAUGAGGAAUAUUACUGCAUGUUUGCAUUAGUUUUUGGUGUGCAUAGGAGCAAGCAAUAUACUGCACUGUUUCCGUUUGUAUGAUGCUAAAUAUCCUAAGCAUGACUGUUCUUACCUCUCAGUAAAACUUUUGAGAAUAUCGUGGCUUGUCUAAGAAAACUGAUAUCAU
Molecule: long non-coding RNA, 967 nt
Filed under: Gallus gallus (chicken)
Lineage: Eukaryota; Metazoa; Chordata; Aves; Galliformes; Phasianidae
Description: long non-coding RNA NONGGAT000985
Source: RNAcentral